This 82-nucleotide transfer RNA is filed under the name Candidatus Omnitrophota bacterium. RNAcentral's name for it is "tRNA-Leu". It matches the Rfam family "tRNA". Rfam says of the family: Transfer RNA (tRNA) molecules are approximately 80 nucleotides in length. Lineage: Bacteria; Pseudomonadati; Candidatus Omnitrophota. The record is from RNAcentral.
GCGCGGGUGGCGAAAUUGGUAGACGCGCAUGCUUGAGGGGCAUGUGACCCCGGUCAUGGAGGUUCAAGUCCUCUCCCGCGCA